CAACACGAACAAAUUCCCUCGUCAAAAGUCCUGGCCUCGCAGUGACAGUCGAACGCCGUCCAAGCAGUUUGUCCAGCAACUACUUCGGGGCUGAAUUAUCAUCUUAUUGGAUACUGGUGCAUACUAGUCAAUGUACCGGUAACUUGCAUUAUAUUUAAAAUGUCGGCAAGCCGCGUUCCAGGAGAUGAUGAGAUUGACCUCGCCACAGCAACUGCAAUUGCGUCAGCAGUGGGUGAGGAGGGAAUGGACGUGAAUAUGGCGACGUGUUCAUUCCAUAAAAUAAAGUGGCUAUACCUGGAAAAGGAGGACUUGAGCAUCCCCAUUGUGACGCAGAAUGAAAACGGACCCUGUCCACUUCUAGCUCUUAUCAAUGCUUUAUGUUUGUCACGGAGAAUGCGGCUAACGCCUGGGAAGAUGUCUAUUUCUGGCCAGCAACUGAUCGAAACUUUGUUCGCCUAUUUACUUGAGAAUCAGCCGCAGGAGAUGACAGAGGCACAGAAACUGAACUACGAGCGCAAUGUGCAAGACGCAAUGGCUGUUUCACGGCAUCUACUGACAGGCCUGAAUAUGAAUGUCAAGAUGAGCAGGGUGGAUCAGUUUGAGUACACACCCGAGAUGAUCAUAUUUGACCUGGUCGGUGUCAACCUGUACCAUGGUUGGCUAGUGGAGCCAGGCUCCAGUAUUCACAGCGAUCUGCUGGCUACGCUCACAUACAACACAAUGGUGGAGAAGGCCAUCGCAGCCACAGAAGACCUGCCCAUGGAUGCUACAGAGGCACAGCAGGAAGCCUGGACGGAGCAGCGGAGUAUUGGUACUGCGGCGAAGGAUUUCUUGGACCAGUCAGCUAGCCAAUUGACUGUGCAUGGUCUUCUGGAGCUGAAGCGCGCCUUGACAGACGGUCAGACAAGCGUAUUCUUCCGCAACAAUCAUUUCAGUACUCUGUACAAGCAAAAUGGUAAUCUGUAUGUUCUAGUAACGGAUCAAGGCUACUUUGACGAGCAUCAAGUAGUGUUCGAAAGCCUUAAUGAUGUACAUGGUAGCAGUGCUUUCUAUGACCAUAACCUCACCGAGGUGACGGCUGCGUUGCAAAACAGAGCGAAGGAAGCAGCUGCUGCGCAAUCUUCUAAUCAAGGAUCUGUCGGGGCAACAGCGGCGGUUGCACCAUCAUCGGUGGGUGCUGCGACAACUGGACUGGCAUCUACGCAGGAAGAUCAGGACUACUUGCUGGCGUUGACACUGCGCGACGAAGAAUCAGCUGCAGCUGCGCGUGGGCAAGCAGCAGGCAGUGGUACAGCAGCGGCUACAAGCAGCAACACCGUGGCGGUAUCCUUACCCACCGCACACGGUGUGCCCCCGGCCGAAGUGCCUCGGCAAGAAGCGGCCGCCACAUGCCGCCCUGUGCAGGAAAGCUCCGGCUUGAUUCCGGUCUCCGUGAGCCGUCCGUCCACGCAAGCACACCAGGCCGUAGCUAACGUGCCCGCAGCAACGGACGGCGGUUUGCCCGCGGCCGAUCAUGCAGCACCUUGUCCUGUUCUUACUGCUGAUCAGCUGACCAGUGCGAUUGCCAUGGCAACUGCCGCUAUCCAGCCUACCCAAUCACAAUCAGGUCCCACCCAGCCUACCCAAGAGGAUCUAGAUAUGCAAGUAGCACGAGAGCUUCAAGCAGCCUUGGAUCAGGACGUUGCCAUGGAACUCCAUCGGCAAGAAGAAACUCUGCGUUUGCAGGAGGAAGAAGUGCAACUUCGACAGACGCAACCUUCUACGGCUCAGGUUUCCGAACUGCAGCAGCAGCAGCAACAGCAACAAGGACAGCAGCAGCAGCAGCAGGGACAGCAACGGCAGCGGCAACCUGGACAGGGAUCUGGGGAUGGACGUUCACCUCAUCCAAGUCAAGGGACGUAAGUUGGAAGAUGGCUGGCUGAUGGACUGAAGUUUUGUUGGCACUUGCGCGUCCUCAUCUGGAAUGCAAAACACACAAAUGAGGACUCCUGUUGCCUGUUGUGAUAGAGAGAGGCGUUGCUGCCUCCUCACUUGCUCACGUGUAACGCCAUUGUCUUCCUGUUGGGGUAGGCUCUGUCCGGAACAUGCAUGUUCCCCACUGCCCUGUGUGUAGCUGCAUCUUGCACUAGAGCAUGCUAACAGUCCUAUCGUUGCCAAGACGAUUUUCAGCUGCCGAUUGUCACUGUGUACCAGUGGUAACUCUGCUCAUUUCAUACACUCUACUCCCUGGCCGCUCUUCGUGAAUUUUACGAUUUUCAGCUGGUGGACGCCGCUGGCCUCCUCUCUCAUUGGUGCUGCACCAGUUGUUUUAGCUCAUUUGACUUCGUGUUGCUGAACUUUUUGUGCAUUUAUUUACAGUGUCUGUCCGGCGAAAUCCCGUUUUAUUAAACAGUUCUCUCUAUAUCAGUACUGGCCUCACUAUAUUUUUCUACUAACCUGCACAUAGUCACACAUGCUGGUCAAGUCAUAAAAUUCUUUUUGCUUUUCUUCGUUUGUUUGGUCUUUUGUCUCGGAGCUCCAUAUCAAUUUUUAUAUUGUGUUUUCGAUAAAGGUUUUGACUCUGUCCAGUUUGGACAAACUCUGUGACUGUUGCCCAAGCGCACAUAGCAGUCAUGUCUUUACGCUGAUUAUUUCAUUCUAGACUCCUACGAAUCAAUGUCCAGUUCGAGCCGCUAUAAGAAAGAGUCCACAUGGUGGAAAGAACACCAAGCUAAGAUUGACUUCUUUCUCUUGUUGUUCUGAAUGAUGUGAUUGUCACUGUGUGCUGAGCUGAGGUGGCUUGUGAAUGCUUCUUCGGGUAGCUGCAGCUGUUGUUACAAAUGGCAAUGUCCAAUAAGAGUGUUUGUUUGAAUUUGAUUUCUUUAUUCGUUGUUUAAAUUGAAUUCUUUAUUCUCACGAUGGCACCAUCAUCAGUAAGAGAA
RNA transcript from Sycon ciliatum, 2921 nucleotides. It is a transcript of the gene named ubiquitin carboxyl-terminal hydrolase MINDY-1-like, with no coding region annotated. The transcript has 9 exons. NCBI's taxonomy places the organism in Eukaryota, Metazoa, Porifera, Calcarea, Leucosolenida, Sycettidae. The record is from RefSeq and is a predicted model, not a curated record.